Small nucleolar RNA from Chlorocebus sabaeus (green monkey), 215 nucleotides. Its record names the gene U3. It matches the Rfam family "Small nucleolar RNA U3". From Rfam's summary of the family: Small nucleolar RNAs (snoRNAs) are involved in the processing and modification of rRNA in the nucleolus. NCBI's taxonomy places the organism in Eukaryota, Metazoa, Chordata, Mammalia, Primates, Cercopithecidae. The record is from Ensembl.
AAGACUUUACUUUCAGGGAUCAUUUCUAUAGAAGUUCUAGAAGAAACUAGAGAAGUUUCUCUGUGCAGGUAGAGCACCGAAAACCACCAGGAGGAGGCACAUUCUCUCCUGAACGUGAAGCUGGUCUUGGUGUUACUUUGCAAUUGCCAUUUGGCAUUGAUGGGCGUUCAUUUCCCUCCAGCAAAGUAAGACGGAGAAGAUGCAGCCUGAGUGGU